Molecule: ribosomal RNA, 305 nt
Filed under: uncultured bacterium
Lineage: Bacteria
Description: partial 16S ribosomal RNA
Rfam family: Bacterial small subunit ribosomal RNA
Source: RNAcentral
ACAGCAGUAGCCGCGGGAAUACAGAGGGUGCGAGCGUUAAUCGGAUUUACUGGGCGUAAAGCGUGCGUAGGCGGCUUCUUAAGUCGGAUGUGAAAUCCCUGAGCUUAACUUAGGAAUUGCAUUCGAUACUGGGAAGCUAGAGUAUGGGAGAGGAUGGUAGAAUUCCAGGUGUAGCGGUGAAAUGCGUAGAGAUCUGGAGGAAUACCGAUGGCGAAGGCAGCCAUCUGGCCUAAUACUGACGCUGAGGUUCGAAAGCAUGGGGAGCAAACAGGAUUAGAUACCCGUGUAGUCCCUGUCUCUUAUAC